UGGGGAAUAUUGCACAAUGGGCGCAAGCCUGAUGCAGCGACGCCGCGUGGGGGAUGAAGGCCUUCGGGUUGUAAACUCCUUUCGCUAGGGACGAAGCCUUUUAGGUGACGGUACCUGGAGAAGAAGCACCGGCUAACUACGUGCCAGCAGCCGCGGUAAUACGUAGGGUGCGAGCGUUGUCCGGAAUUACUGGGCGUAAAGAGCUCGUAGGUGGUUUGUCGCGUCGUCUGAGAAAUCCCGGGGCUUAACUUCGGGCGUGCAGGCGAUACGGGCAUAACUUGAGUGCUGUAGGGGAGACUGGAAUUCCUGGUGUAGCGGUGAAAUGCGCAGAUAUCAGGAGGAACACCAAUGGCGAAGGCAGGUCUCUGGGCAGUAACUGACGCUGAGGAGCGAAAGCAUGGGUAGCGAACAGG
Molecule: ribosomal RNA, 413 nt
Filed under: Acidobacteriota bacterium
Lineage: Bacteria; Pseudomonadati; Acidobacteriota
Description: Acidobacteria bacterium partial 16S ribosomal RNA
Rfam family: Bacterial small subunit ribosomal RNA
Source: RNAcentral